Non-coding RNA from Hypoxylon sp. FL1150, 74 nucleotides. The record is from the annotation of a GenBank genome assembly. Lineage: Eukaryota; Fungi; Ascomycota; Sordariomycetes; Xylariales; Hypoxylaceae.
GUAUGUGUAACUUGAUUGGCAAGAGCACGAAGUUUUGAUCUUAAGGAUUCCGGGUUCGAGUCCCGGCGCGCACU